UAGCCACACCCUCCUGUUGAUUACUUCCGUGCAACAGCUCUAUAAUGUGAUCAAACUGGAUAAACUACUUUGCUAAUUAUAAUAAACUACAGUGUUUACCAGUAUAGACAUUGGCCAAUUGACUAAUUUGCAGUCUCUCAAUAUAUCACACAAUUCACUAACUGUUCUACCACAGUCAAUCAAAUUAUGGUACAGUUAGUCUUCAGCCACUUACCAGCACACGCAAUCCUGUCUAUUCAGCACCUGAAGCAGGCAGUCCAAGGGAACAUUCUCCUGCAAUGGAUGUCUUCAGUUAUG
Long non-coding RNA from Amphimedon queenslandica, 297 nucleotides. RefSeq lists it as uncharacterized. NCBI's taxonomy places the organism in Eukaryota, Metazoa, Porifera, Demospongiae, Haplosclerida, Niphatidae. The transcript has 2 exons. The record is from RefSeq and is a predicted model, not a curated record.